UACGGGGGGGGCAAGCGUUGUUCGGAAUUACUGGGCGUAAAGGGCGUGUAGGCGGCCUAUUAUGUCAGGUGUGAAAGCCCUCGGCCUAACCGAGGAAGUGCGCCUGAAACUGCUAGGCUUGAGUACGAGAGAGGAGGACGGAAUUCCCAGUGUAGAGGUGAAAUUCGUAGAUAUUGGGAGGAACACCGGCGGCGAAAGCGGUUCUCUGGAUCGAUACUGACGCUAAGACGCGAAAGCGUGGGGAGCAAACAGG
Molecule: ribosomal RNA, 253 nt
Filed under: uncultured bacterium
Lineage: Bacteria
Description: partial 16S ribosomal RNA
Rfam family: Bacterial small subunit ribosomal RNA
Source: RNAcentral